AAUAGAUACCCCGGUAGUCCACGCCGUAAACGAUGAAUACUAGGUGUGGGGGUUGUCAUGACCUCCGUGCCGCCGCUAACGCAUUAAGUAUUCCGCCUGGGGAGUACGGUCGCAAGAUUAAAACUCAAAGGAAUUGACGGGGGCCCGCACAAGCAGCGGAGCAUGUGGUUUAAUUCGAAGCAACGCGAAGAACCUUACCUAGACUUGACAUCUCCUGAAUUACUCUGUAAUAGAGGAAGCCCUUCGGGGCAGGAAGACAGGUGGUGCAUGGUUGUCGUCAGCUCGUGUCGUGAGAUGUUGGGUUAAGUCCCGCAACGAGCGCAACCCUUAUUGUUAGUUGCUACCAUUUAGUUGAGCACUCUAGCGAGACUGCCCGGGUUAACCGGGAGGAAGGUGGGGAUGACGUCAAAUCAUCAUGCCCCUUAUGUCUAGGGCUACACACGUGCUACAAUGGCUGGUACAGAGAGAUGCAAUACCGUGAGGUGGAGCCAAACUUUAAAACCAGUCUCAGUUCGGAUUGUAGGCUGAAACUCGCCUAC
RNAcentral lists this ribosomal RNA (539 nucleotides) under uncultured bacterium. Its description in RNAcentral is "bacterial SSU rRNA". It matches the Rfam family "Bacterial small subunit ribosomal RNA", at positions 777 to 1319 of the family's 1533-position model. The record is from RNAcentral.